AGGGCACACGGUGGAUGCCUAGGCAUACAGAGGCGAUGAAGGACGUGUAAAGCUGCGAUAAGCUGCGGGGAGCUGCAUACGAGCAAUGAUCCGCGGAUGUCCGAAUGGGGCAACCCAUCCGCCAAUUGGCGGAUACUCCUUUCGAGGAGGGCGUACGGGGGGAACUGAAACAUCUAAGUACCCCCAGGAACAGAAAACAAUCGAGUGAUUCUCCUAGUAGCGGCGAGCGAACGGGGAGCAGCCCAAACCAGGAUCUUACGAGAUUCUGGGGUAGUAGGACCUGCAUAAUCAAUGAAAGCUUAAGUCGAAACUGCCUGGAAAGCAGUCCCACAGAAGGUGAAAGGCCUGUAGGCGUACGGCGAUCGGCGAGGCGGGUAUCCUGAGUAGCGCGGGGCAGGUGAAACUCUGCGUGAACCAGCCGGCACCAUCCGGUAAGGCUAAAUACAUCUGUAUGACCGAUAGUGAACCAGUACCGUGAGGGAAAGGUGAAAAGAACGCCGAGACGGCGAGUGAAAUAGUACCUGAAACCGUGUGCUUACAAGCGGUCGGAGCCUCUCUUUGAGGGGUGACGGCGUGCCUUUUGUAUAAUGAGCCUACGAGUUGCUCCUGUUGUGCGAGGUUAAGUCCCUCAGGGAUGGAGCCGCAGCGAAAGCGAGUCUGAAUGGGGCGUGCAGUACAGCGGGGCAGACGCGAAACCACGUGAGCUAUCCAUGGACAGGGUGAAGUGGGGGUAAAACCCCAUGGAGGCCCGAACCGACAAGCGUUGAAAAGCUUCCGGAUGAUCUGUGGAUAGGGGUGAAAGGCCAAUCAAACGUGGAAAUAGCUCGUACUCCCUGAAAUAUAUUUAGGUAUAGCGUCUGGUUUUGUUCUGCCGGAGGUAGAGCACUGAUUAGGCUAGGGCCCUUCACCGGGUACCAACCCUAGACAAACUCCGAAUACCGGCCAGAAGCCACCAGGCAGUCAGUGGCAGGGUGAUAACGUCCUGUCGCGAGAGGGAAACAACCCAGACCACCAGCUAAGGCCCCUAAAUGUGUGUUAAGUUGCACAAAGAAAGUUGGGUUGCCCAGACAACUAGGAGGUUGGCUUAGAAGCAGCCAUUCCUUUAAAGAGUGCGUAAUAGCUCACUAGUUAAGCGGCCCGGCGUCGAUAAUAAGCGGGCAUUAAACACGCUGCCGAAGCUGUGGACUCUAAUAGAGUGGUAAGGGAGCAUUCCAGGGGCGCAGAAGCGGAGUUGCGAGACUCCGUGGAGCCCCUGGAAGCGAAACUGUAGGCAUGAGUAACGAUAAGACGGGCGAGAAACCCGUCCACCGUAAACCCAAGGGUUCCUGAUCAACGCUAAUCGGAUCAGGGUUAGUCGAGACCUAAGGUGUAGCCGAAAGGCGAAGCCGAUGGCAAACCGGUUAAAUAUUCCGGUACCGAUUGUAGCGCCAGGCUAAGGCGUGACGCAGAAGUGACACUCCCGCGUGCUGACGAAUGCACGUUAAAGGGCGUAGGCCGGAAAGCAGGCAAAUCCGCUUUCCAUUACGGCUGAACCCCGACAGUACCCAGCGGCUGCGGCCAACGGGAUAGUGGAGGUAAUCCCGCUGCCAAGAAAAGCGUCGUAGUUUGUUACAAUCGCUCGUACCCGAAACCGACACAGGUGGGUGAGGAGAGUAUCCUAAGGUGCUCGAGUAAUUCAUGGCUAAGGAACUAGGCAAAUUCGAUCCGUAACUUCGGGAGAAGGAUCCCCCCGCACGUAGCUUGCUAUGGGCGGGGGCGCAGUGAAAAGGCCCAAACGACUGUUUACCAAAAACACAUGUCUCUGCUAAGCCGCAAGGCGAUGUAUAGGGACUGACACCUGCCCGGUGCUGGAAGGUUAAAGAAGGGGGUUAGCGGUUUACCGCAAAGCUCUUGACUGAAGCCCCAGUAAACGGCGGCCGUAACUAUAACGGUCCUAAGGUAGCGAAAUUCCUUGUCGGGUAAGUUCCGACCUGCACGAAUGGUGUAACGAUUUGGGCACUGUCUCAGCCAUGAGCUCGGUGAAAUUGUGGUAUCGGUGAUGACGCCGAUUACCCGCAGCGGGACGAAAAGACCCCGUGAACCUUUACUACAACUUUACAUUGGCUUUACCGGAAGCAUGUGUAGCAUAGGCGGGAGACACCGAACCCCCUUCGCCAGGAGGGGGGGAGUCACCCAGUGAAAUACCGCCCUUGCUUCAGGUGAAUUCUAACCCUCGAGUCCGGGGGAACAGUGUAUGGUGGGUAGUUUGACUGGGGCGGUCGCCUCCUAAAGAGUAACGGAGGCUCCCAAAGGUACCCUCAGCACGGUCGGCAAUCGUGCGUAGCGUGUAAAAGCAUAAGGGUGCUUGACUGCAAGACACACAGGUCGAGCAGGAACGAAAGUUGGGUUUAGUGAUCCGGUGGCACCGCAUGGAAGGGCCAUCGCUCAAAGGAUAAAAGGUACUCCGGGGAUAACAGGCUUAUCUCCCCCAAGAGUUCACAUCGACGGGGAGGUUUGGCACCUCGAUGUCGGCUCAUCGCAUCCUGGGGCUGGAGAAGGUCCCAAGGGUAUGGCUGUUCGCCAUUUAAAGCGGUACGCGAGCUGGGUUCAGAACGUCGUGAGACAGUUCGGUCUCUAUCUGCUGUGGGCGUAGGAAUAUUGCGGAGAGCUGCUCCUAGUACGAGAGGACCGGAGUGGACGCACCGCUGGUGUACCUGUUGUGUGGUCGCAUGCAUCGCAGGGUAGCCAUGUGCGGAAGUGAUAAGCCGCUGAAUGCAUCUAAGCGCGAAGCACGCUCCAAGAUAAGUAUUCCCUAAGAGCCUCCUGGAAGACGACCAGGUAGAUAGGUAGCAGGUGUACGCAUGGUGACAUGUUUAGCCGAGCUAUACUAAUCAGGCCACAGGCUUCGGUU
This 2890-nucleotide ribosomal RNA is filed under the name Gracilimonas tropica DSM 19535. RNAcentral's name for it is "bacterial LSU rRNA". It matches the Rfam family "Bacterial large subunit ribosomal RNA". Lineage: Bacteria; Pseudomonadati; Balneolota; Balneolia; Balneolales; Balneolaceae. The record is from RNAcentral.